AUACGUAGGGGGCGAGCGUUGUCCGGAAUGAUUGGGCGUAAAGGGCGCGUAGGCGGCCCGGUAAGUCUGGAGUGAAAGUCCUGUUUUUAAGGUGGGAAUUGCUUUGGAUACUGUCGGGCUUGAGUGCAGGAGAGGUAAGUGGAAUUCCCAGUGUAGCGGUGAAAUGCGUAGAGAUUGGGAGGAACACCAGUGGCGAAGGCGACUUACUGGACUGUAACUGACGCUGAGGCGCGAAAGUGUGGGGAGCAAACAGGAUUAGAUACCCUGGUAGUCCACACUGUAAACGAUGAAUGCUAGGUGUAGGGGGUAUCGACCCCUUCUGUGCCGCAGUCAACACAAUAAGCAUUCCGCCUGGGGAGUACGGCCGCAAGGUUGAAACUCAAAGGAAUUGACGGGG
RNAcentral lists this ribosomal RNA (397 nucleotides) under uncultured bacterium. RNAcentral describes it as "partial 16S ribosomal RNA". It matches the Rfam family "Bacterial small subunit ribosomal RNA", at positions 523 to 918 of the family's 1533-position model. The record is from RNAcentral.